This 563-nucleotide ribosomal RNA is filed under the name Colletotrichum lini. Its description in RNAcentral is "eukaryotic LSU rRNA". It matches the Rfam family "Eukaryotic large subunit ribosomal RNA", at positions 75 to 661 of the family's 3401-position model. Lineage: Eukaryota; Fungi; Ascomycota; Sordariomycetes; Glomerellales; Glomerellaceae. The record is from RNAcentral.
UUGCCCCAGUAACGGCGAGUGAAGCGGCAACAGCUCAAAUUUGAAAUCUGGCCCCAGGCCCGAGUUGUAAUUUGCAGAGGAUGCUUUUGGCGCGGUGCCUUCCGAGUUCCCUGGAACGGGACGCCAUAGAGGGUGAGAGCCCCGUACGGUUGGACACCAAGCCUUUGUAAAGCUCCUUCGACGAGUCGAGUAGUUUGGGAAUGCUGCUCAAAAUGGGAGGUAUAUUUCUUCUAAAGCUAAAUAUAGGCCAGAGACCGAUAGCGCACAAGUAGAGUGAUCGAAAGAUGAAAAGCACUUUGAAAAGAGGGUUAAACAGCACGUGAAAUUGUUAAAAGGGAAGCGCUUGUGACCAGACUUGCGUCCGGUGAAUCACCCAGCUCUCGCGGCUGGGGCACUUCGCCGGCACAGGCCAGCAUCAGCUUGCCGUCGGGGACAAAAGCUUCAGGAACGUAGCUCUCUUCGGGGAGUGUUAUAGCCUGUUGCAUAAUACCCUUCGGCGGGCUGAGGUACGCGCUCCGCAAGGAUGCUGGCGUAAUGGUCAUUAACCAANCCGUCUUGAAAGA